UACCCCCUGCCGUGUACGUGAUUGGCUCGAUGUGGCUUUGACCCAAUUCACAGAAAACGGGAGCCUCCGCUUGUUCUGGUGUGCAUGUUCUACUGGAUAGAAAAGCCUGAAGGAACUAUUGAGGCGCCCACGUAAUUAACCUGGUUCAAGGACCCUUCAACACGGCACAAGGUGGGGGGUAC
RNAcentral lists this non-coding RNA (182 nucleotides) under Deltaproteobacteria bacterium. RNAcentral describes it as "6S RNA". It matches the Rfam family "6S / SsrS RNA". Rfam says of the family: E. coli 6S RNA was the first non coding RNA to be sequenced, but its function was unknown until recently. Lineage: Bacteria; Pseudomonadati; Myxococcota; Myxococcia. The record is from RNAcentral.